UUAUUUUAUUUUAUAUUUUGUGUGUUGUU
Molecule: non-coding RNA, 29 nt
Filed under: Rattus norvegicus (Norway rat)
Lineage: Eukaryota; Metazoa; Chordata; Mammalia; Rodentia; Muridae
Source: RNAcentral